Molecule: ribosomal RNA, 629 nt
Filed under: Salmonella enterica subsp. enterica serovar Infantis
Lineage: Bacteria; Pseudomonadati; Pseudomonadota; Gammaproteobacteria; Enterobacterales; Enterobacteriaceae
Also listed under: 12 other names
Description: partial 23S ribosomal RNA
Rfam family: Bacterial large subunit ribosomal RNA
Source: RNAcentral
GUCUGCAUGGAGCCGACCUUGAAAUACCACCCUUUAAUGUUUGAUGUUCUAACGUGGACCCGUAAUCCGGGUUGCGGACAGUGUCUGGUGGGUAGUUUGACUGGGGCGGUCUCCUCCUAAAGAGUAACGGAGGAGCACGAAGGUUGGCUAAUCCUGGUCGGACAUCAGGAGGUUAGUGCAAUGGCAUAAGCCAGCUUGACUGCGAGCGUGACGGCGCGAGCAGGUGCGAAAGCAGGUCAUAGUGAUCCGGUGGUUCUGAAUGGAAGGGCCAUCGCUCAACGGAUAAAAGGUACUCCGGGGAUAACAGGCUGAUACCGCCCAAGAGUUCAUAUCGACGGCGGUGUUUGGCACCUCGAUGUCGGCUCAUCACAUCCUGGGGCUGAAGUAGGUCCCAAGGGUAUGGCUGUUCGCCAUUUAAAGUGGUACGCGAGCUGGGUUUAGAACGUCGUGAGACAGUUCGGUCCCUAUCUGCCGUGGGCGCUGGAGAACUGAGGGGGGCUGCUCCUAGUACGAGAGGACCGGAGUGGACGCAUCACUGGUGUUCGGGUUGUCAUGCCAAUGGCACUGCCCGGUAGCUAAAUGCGGAAGAGAUAAGUGCUGAAAGCAUCUAAGCACGAAACUUGCCCCGA